This 387-nucleotide long non-coding RNA is filed under the name Zonotrichia albicollis (white-throated sparrow). RNAcentral describes it as "lncRNA (ENSZALG00000011193.1)". Lineage: Eukaryota; Metazoa; Chordata; Aves; Passeriformes; Passerellidae. The record is from RNAcentral.
UUUCUUGUGGGAUUUGGGGCUGUGGCUUACAUUCUGGCAUCUCAGUUUCUCAGUUGUAUGGCAUGAGACGCUGCUGACGUCCUUUGGCUUCCUGUUCAUGAGGCUGUGCUUGGCAUCCUCGGAUUUAGGCACAGUGUGAAUUUUCUUAGACUUCACCCUCCAGACCUCAUUUUGUUUCAUCAGCCCUUCCCUGCCUAUCAGAAAUUUGGUGUCUCUUUCCUCCCUGUGGAUCCCAGUGCUGAGAAGCCAGCAGCAGUCAAGAGAAGUCACAAGAUUGUUUGUGUGUUGGUGGUGUUUUUAUGAAUGCAGGAAUUACCACAAUUGUAUGAAUAAUUCAUUCAUGAAAAUGAUGCUUGAAAAAGAAAAGUACUCUUCUAUUAUUCUUGG